RNAcentral lists this ribosomal RNA (1562 nucleotides) under Macrotus californicus (California big-eared bat). RNAcentral describes it as "16S ribosomal RNA". It matches the Rfam family "Bacterial large subunit ribosomal RNA". The record is from RNAcentral. Lineage: Eukaryota; Metazoa; Chordata; Mammalia; Chiroptera; Phyllostomidae.
GCCGGAUUUAGCCCAAACAUAACCUCAACUAACUAUUCUAUAAAACAAAACAUUUACCCCUUGAAGAGUAUAGGAGAUAGAAAUUCUAACCUGGCGCUAUAGAGAAAGUACCGUAAGGGAACAAUGAAAGAAUACUCCUAAAGCAAUAAACAGCAAAGAUUACCCCUUCUACCUUUUGCAUAAUGAUUUAACCAGAAAUAAUCUAGCAAAGAGAACUUAAGUUAGCCACCCCGAAACCAGACGAGCUAUCCACGAGCAGCCCCAACAGAGCAAACUCAUCUAUGUGGCAAAAUAGUGAAAAGACUUAUGGAUAGAGGUGACAAGCCUAUCGAGCCUGGUGAUAGCUGGUUGUCCAGAAAAGAAUCUUAGUUCAGACCUAAGCCUACCUAAAAACCCUAUAAUUUUACUGUAAGCUUAAGUAAUAGUCUAAAAGGGGACAGCCUUUUAGAUACAGGAUACAACCUUGACUAGUGAGUAAACAGCAAGAUACACCACAGUAGGCCUAAAAGCAGCCAUCAGUAAAGAAAGCGUUCAAGCUCAACAAUAUUACACCAUUUUAAUCCCAGAGAUUACUAUUAACUCCUAACAUAAAACUGGACCACUCUAUAAUAAUAUAGAAGAAAUAAUGUUAAUAUGAGUAACAAGAAACAUUUUCUCCCCGCACAAGUGUAUAUCAGAACGGAUGCCCACUGAUAGUUAACACAACUAAAGAAAAUCUCAUAACAGGAUCUUUACACACCAAAUGUUAACCCAACACAGGAGUGCACUCAAGGAAAGAUUAAAAGGAGUAAAAGGAACUCGGCAAACACAAACCCCGCCUGUUUACCAAAAACAUCACCUCCAGCAUAUCCAGUAUUGGAGGCACUGCCUGCCCAGUGACUUAAAUGUUCAACGGCCGCGGUAUCCUGACCGUGCAAAGGUAGCAUAAUCACUUGUUCUCUAAAUAAGGACUUGUAUGAACGGCUACACGAGGGUUUUACUGUCUCUUGCUCCCAAUCAGUGAAAUUGACCUCCCCGUGAAGAGGCGGGGAUGCGCCAAUAAGACGAGAAGACCCUAUGGAGCUUUAAUUAGCUAGCCUAAAAUGAUUUUAUAAUAACCAAAAGGAACAAAAUUAUCUAAAAUAAGCUAGCAAUUUAGGUUGGGGUGACCUCGGAGUAUAAAAACCCCUCCGAGUGAUUCAAAUCUAGACAUACCAGUCAAAACCAAAUCACUUAUUGACCCAAACGUAUUUGAUCAACGAAACAAGUUACCCUAGGGAUAACAGCGCAAUCCUAUUUAAGAGUCCCUAUCGACAAUAGGGUUUACGACCUCGAUGUUGGAUCAGGACAUCCCAAUGGUGCAGCAGCUAUUAACGGUUCGUUUGUUCAACGAUUAAAGUCCUACGUGAUCUGAGUUCAGACCGGAGCAAUCCAGGUCGGUUUCUAUCUAUUCUAUGCCUUUCCCAGUACGAAAGGACAAGAAAGGCAAGGCCUACCUAACCCACAGGCGCCUUCGAACAAUUAACAGAUGAUAUAAUCUCAAUCUGAUUUAUCAUAAAUCCAAACCCCAAGACCCGGGGUUA